Molecule: ribosomal RNA, 253 nt
Filed under: uncultured bacterium
Lineage: Bacteria
Description: partial 16S ribosomal RNA
Rfam family: Bacterial small subunit ribosomal RNA
Source: RNAcentral
UACGGAGGGGGCGAGCGUUAUUCGGAAUUAUUGGGCGUAAAGGGCGCGUAGGCGGCUUGACAAGUCAAAGGUGAAAUCCCUCGGCUCAACUGAGGAACUGCCUUUGAAACUGUCUGGCUUGAGGCCGGGAGGGGGUAGCGGAAUUCCCAGUGUAGCGGUGAAAUGCGUAGAUAUUGGGAGGAACACCAGUGGCGAAGGCGGCUACCUGGACCGGUUCUGACGCUGAUGCGCGAAAGCGUGGGUAGCAAACAGG